RNAcentral lists this ribosomal RNA (677 nucleotides) under Klebsiella pneumoniae. RNAcentral describes it as "bacterial SSU rRNA". It matches the Rfam family "Bacterial small subunit ribosomal RNA", at positions 50 to 719 of the family's 1533-position model. Lineage: Bacteria; Pseudomonadati; Pseudomonadota; Gammaproteobacteria; Enterobacterales; Enterobacteriaceae. The record is from RNAcentral.
AUCACAUGCAGUCGAGCGGUAGCACAGAGAGCUUGCUCUCGGGUGACGAGCGGCGGACGGGUGAGUAAUGUCUGGGAAACUGCCUGAUGGAGGGGGAUAACUACUGGAAACGGUAGCUAAUACCGCAUAACGUCGCAAGACCAAAGUGGGGGACCUUCGGGCCUCAUGCCAUCAGAUGUGCCCAGAUGGGAUUAGCUAGUAGGUGGGGUAACGGCUCACCUAGGCGACGAUCCCUAGCUGGUCUGAGAGGAUGACCAGCCACACUGGAACUGAGACACGGUCCAGACUCCUACGGGAGGCAGCAGUGGGGAAUAUUGCACAAUGGGCGCAAGCCUGAUGCAGCCAUGCCGCGUGUGUGAAGAAGGCCUUCGGGUUGUAAAGCACUUUCAGCGGGGAGGAAGGCGRURAGGUUAAUAACCUUGUCGAUUGACGUUAMCCGCAGAAGAAGCACCGGCUAACUCCGUGCCAGCAGCCGCGGUAAUACGGAGGGUGCAAGCGUUAAUCGGAAUUACUGGGCGUAAAGCGCACGCAGGCGGUCUGUCMAGUCGGAUGUGAAAUCCCCGGGCUCAACCUGGGAACUGCMUUCGARACUGGCAGGCUAGAGUCUUGUAGAGGGGGGUAGAAUUCCAGGUGUAGCGGUGAAAUGCGUMGAGAUCUGGAGGAAUAACGGUGGCGAA